GCCAGUGUGGUGUAGUGGCUUGAGCACUGGAGUGUGACACUGCAGACCAGGGUUCAAAUCCCCGCUUGACU
Phrynosoma platyrhinos (Desert horned lizard) is the source of this 71-nucleotide non-coding RNA. Lineage: Eukaryota; Metazoa; Chordata; Lepidosauria; Squamata; Phrynosomatidae. The record is from the annotation of a GenBank genome assembly.